RNAcentral lists this ribosomal RNA (344 nucleotides) under uncultured bacterium. Its description in RNAcentral is "partial 16S ribosomal RNA". It matches the Rfam family "Bacterial small subunit ribosomal RNA", at positions 338 to 693 of the family's 1533-position model. The record is from RNAcentral.
CCUACGAGUGGCUGCAGUCGAGAAUCAUUCACAAUAGGGGAAACCCUGAUGGUGCGACGCCGCGUGGGGGAAUGAAGGUCUUCGGAUUGUAAACCCCUGUCAUGUGGGAGCAAAUUAAAAAGAUAGUACCACAAGAGGAAGAGAUGGCUAACUCUGUGCCAGCAGCCGCGGUAAUACAGAGGUCUCAAGUGUUGUUCGGAAUCACUGGGCGUAAAGCGUGCGUAGGCUGUUUCGUAAGUCGUGUGGGAAAGGCGCGGGCUCAAGCCGCGGACGGCACAUGAUACUGCGAGACUAGAGGAAUGGAGGGGGAAACGGAAUGCUCGGUGGUGCAGUGGAAUGCGUAG